CCUACGGGUGGCAGCAGUGGGGAAUAUUGCACAAUGGGCGCAAGCCUGAUGCAGCCAUGCCGCGUGUGUGAAGAAGGCCUUCGGGUUGUAAAGCACUUUCAGCGGGGAGGAAAGCGGUGAGGUUAAUAACCUCAUCGAUUGACGUUACCCGCAGAAGAAGCACCGGCUAACUCCGUGCCAGCAGCCGCGGUAAUACGGAGGGUGCAAGCGUUAAUCGGAAUUACUGGGCGUAAAGCGCACGCAGGCGGUCUGUCAAGUCGGAUGUGAAAUCCCCGGGCUCAACCUGGGAACUGCAUUCGAAACUGGCAGGCUAGAGUCUUGUAGAGGGGGGUAGAAUUCCAGGUGUAGCGGUGAAAUGCGUAGAGAUCUGGAGGAAUACCGGUGGCGAAGGCGGCCCCCUGGACAAAGACUGACGCUCAGGUGCGAAAGCGUGGGGAGCAAACAGGAUUAGAUACCCCUGUAGUC
RNAcentral lists this ribosomal RNA (465 nucleotides) under uncultured Klebsiella sp. Its description in RNAcentral is "bacterial SSU rRNA". It matches the Rfam family "Bacterial small subunit ribosomal RNA", at positions 338 to 795 of the family's 1533-position model. The record is from RNAcentral. Lineage: Bacteria; Pseudomonadati; Pseudomonadota; Gammaproteobacteria; Enterobacterales; Enterobacteriaceae.